Molecule: ribosomal RNA, 603 nt
Filed under: Oryotus ravasinii
Lineage: Eukaryota; Metazoa; Arthropoda; Insecta; Coleoptera; Leiodidae
Also listed under: 3 other names
Description: SSU rRNA
Rfam family: Eukaryotic small subunit ribosomal RNA
Source: RNAcentral
AGUCAUAUGCUUGUCUCAAAGAUUAAGCCAUGCAUGUCUCAGUACAAGCCAAAUUAAGGUGAAACCGCGAAAGGCUCAUUAAAUCAGUUAUGGUUCCUUAGAUCGUACCCACAUUACUUGGAUAACUGUGGUAAUUCUAGAGCUAAUACAUGCCAACAGAACUCUGACCGGAGACGGAAGGAGUGCCUUUAUUAGAUCAAAACCAAUCGGUGGCGCGGCUCCGGUCGCGUCAUCGUACAAUAUGAUGAAUCUGAAUAACGUUUGCUGAUCGCACGGUCUCGCACCGGCGACGUAUCUUUCAAAUGUCUGCCUUAUCAACUGUCGAUGGUAGGUUCUGCGCCUACCAUGGUUGUAACGGGUAACGGGGAAUCAGGGUUCGAUUCCGGAGAGGGAGCCUGAGAAACGGCUACCACAUCCAAGGAAGGCAGCAGGCGCGCAAAUUACCCACUCCCGGCACGGGGAGGUAGUGACGAAAAAUAACGAUACGGGACUCAUCCGAGGCCCCGUAAUCGGAAUGAGCACACUUUAAAUCCUUUCACGAGGAUCAAUCGGAGGGCAAGUCAGGUGCCAGCAGCCGCGGUAAUUCCUGCUCCGAUAGCGUAU